This 72-nucleotide transfer RNA is filed under the name Camelus bactrianus (Bactrian camel). It matches the Rfam family "tRNA". From Rfam's summary of the family: Transfer RNA (tRNA) molecules are approximately 80 nucleotides in length. The record is from Rfam by way of RNAcentral. Lineage: Eukaryota; Metazoa; Chordata; Mammalia; Artiodactyla; Camelidae. RNAcentral also lists the same sequence under 2 other names.
GAAGGUAUAGUUCAGUGGUAGAGUGCAUGCCUAGCAUGCACAAGGUCUUGGGUUCAAUCCUCAGUACCUCUG